RNAcentral lists this long non-coding RNA (290 nucleotides) under Elaeis guineensis (African oil palm). RNAcentral's name for it is "long non-coding RNA (EGUI_LNC008977)". Lineage: Eukaryota; Viridiplantae; Streptophyta; Magnoliopsida; Arecales; Arecaceae. The record is from RNAcentral.
GUAUGACAUGAGCACAAGCCAACCUUGGAUAGUUGAAGGAAAUAACCUAGAGAGGGACCCCAAUGCUCCUUGCAUGAGAUGCAUAUCGAGUUGAAGAUAGACCUCUCCUCAUCCAAGCAUGAGAAGAGCAUGAUGGACCUUUCCUCAUCCGAGCACGAGGAGAGCACAAUGGAGCACAGUGGAUCUCUCGUCAUCCGAGCAUGAGGAGAGCAUAAUAGACCUAUCCUUAUCCAAGUACAAGGAGAGCAAGAUAAAUCUCUCCUCAUUCGAGUACGAGGAGAGCAUGGUGA